GCAAAGGUAGCAUAAUCAUUUGCCUUUUAAUUGAAGGCUAGUAUGAAUGGAUAAAUGAGGACCUUGCUGUCUCUUUAAUAACUAUAAAAAUUAAUCUUUAGGUGAAGAAGCCUAAAUAACAAUAAAAGACAAGAAGACCCUAUUGAGCUUUACUUAUACUCUUUUCAAUUUAAUAUUAAUAUAUUUUAAUAAAGAUUAAUAAGUUUGGUUGGGGCGACAAAGGAAAACAAAAAUCUUCCUAAUAUCUAUCAGAUAAACUAAUCACACAAUGAUCCGACUUUAUCGAGCAAAGGAAGAAGCUACCAUAGGGAUAACAGGCUAAUUCUUCUAAAGAGCCCACAUUGAUAGAAGAGUUUGGCACCUCGAUGUUGGCUUAGGAUAUCCUCUUAAUGCAGCAGUUAAGAAGGGUUGGUUUGUUCAACC
This 423-nucleotide ribosomal RNA is filed under the name Aglaophamus australiensis. RNAcentral's name for it is "partial 16S ribosomal RNA". It matches the Rfam family "Bacterial large subunit ribosomal RNA", at positions 1950 to 2586 of the family's 2925-position model. The record is from RNAcentral. Lineage: Eukaryota; Metazoa; Annelida; Polychaeta; Phyllodocida; Nephtyidae.